RNAcentral lists this long non-coding RNA (320 nucleotides) under Nicotiana benthamiana. RNAcentral's name for it is "long non-coding RNA (NBEN_LNC029990)". The record is from RNAcentral. Lineage: Eukaryota; Viridiplantae; Streptophyta; Magnoliopsida; Solanales; Solanaceae.
GAGAACGUCGGAAAAAUAACCCAAAAAGUUUGAGUAGUGAGGAAACAACCAGAUAUCGCGAUAAAAGUCUCAGAUCAACACCCGAUUUAGAUUGGAAUUAUCAUUGACCGAAUACGUCAGAAACACCCCCAAAAAUUUCCAACGAGAUUUCAACUGAGACAAGAUACAGGAAAUUAUCGUCAGAUCAUUGUCCUUGCUCUGAUACCAUGAAAACAUCAAGAAAUCCAGACGAAAAUCGAAGAACAAGAUGAAAAAGGAGUCGGUUAGGUAGAAGCUUCUAGAGAGCUUUUUAGAGAAAGAGAGAGACUUCUCAAUUAAAA